RNAcentral lists this microRNA precursor (57 nucleotides) under Triops cancriformis. RNAcentral describes it as "microRNA tcf-mir-10318 precursor". The record is from miRBase by way of RNAcentral. Lineage: Eukaryota; Metazoa; Arthropoda; Branchiopoda; Notostraca; Triopsidae.
UUUAAAAAAGAUCAGAUCAGAUCAGAUCAAAUGAUCUGAUCUGAUCUUUUUUACACC